This 332-nucleotide ribosomal RNA is filed under the name bacterium f5(2011). RNAcentral's name for it is "SSU rRNA". It matches the Rfam family "Bacterial small subunit ribosomal RNA", at positions 440 to 764 of the family's 1533-position model. The record is from RNAcentral.
AAGGGAAGAACACGUACGAGAGUAACUGCUCGUACCUUGACGGUACCUUAUUAGAAAGCCACGGCUAACUACGUGCCAGCAGCCGCGGUAAUACGUAGGUGGCAAGCGUUGUCCGGAAUUAUUGGGCGUAAAGCGCGCGCAGGCGGUUCUUUAAGUCUGAUGUGAAAGCCCACGGCUCAACCGUGGAGGGUCAUUGGAAACUGGAGAACUUGAGUACAGAAGAGGAAAGCGGAAUUCCACGUGUAGCGGUGAAAUGCGUAGAGAUGUGGAGGAACACCAGUGGCGAAGGCGGCUUUCUGGUCUGUAACUGACGCUGAGGCGCGAAAGCGUGG